AGAAUGCACUGCUGACACGUGUGCGCGCGCGCGGCUCCACUGCCGGGCGACCGCGGGAAAAUUCCAAAAAAACUCAAAAAGCCAAUACGAGGCAAAGCCAAAUUUUCAAGCCACAGAUCCCGGGCGGUGGCUUCCUUUCCGCCACUGCCCAAACUGCUGAAGCAGCUCCCGCGAGGACCACCCGAUUUAAUGUGUGCCGACCAUUUCCUUCAGUGCUGGACAGGCUGCUGUGAAGGGACAUCACCUUUUCGCUUUUUCCAAGAUGGCUCAAGAUUCAGUAGAUCUUUCUUGUGAUUAUCAGUUUUGGAUGCAGAAGCUUUCUGUAUGGGAUCAGGCUUCCACUUUGGAAACCCAGCAAGACACCUGUCUUCACGUGGCUCAGUUCCAGGAGUUCCUAAGGAAGAUGUAUGAAGCCUUGAAAGAGAUGGAUUCUAAUACAGUCAUUGAAAGAUUCCCCACAAUUGGUCAACUGUUGGCAAAAGCUUGUUGGAAUCCUUUUAUUUUAGCAUAUGAUGAAAGCCAAAAAAUUCUAAUAUGGUGCUUAUGUUGUCUAAUUAACAAAGAACCACAGAAUUCUGGACAAUCAAAACUUAACUCCUGGAUACAGUAACUCCUGGACUGUUUCUGUAGCAGCCACACAAGUCUCCUUUAUAUUGCCAAUAUCUAUCUUUAUCCCAAAGACAAGAUGAAUGUUCAAAAACGGGUGUAUUAUCUCAUAUACUUUCAGCACUCAGAUUUGAUAAAGAAGUUGCUCUUUUCACUCAAGGUCUUGGGUAUGCACCUAUAGAUUACUAUCCUGGUUUGCUUAAAAAUAUGGUUUUAUCAUUAGCGUCUGAACUCA
RNAcentral lists this long non-coding RNA (841 nucleotides) under Homo sapiens (human). Its description in RNAcentral is "non-protein coding lnc-PTCH1-9:1". The record is from RNAcentral. Lineage: Eukaryota; Metazoa; Chordata; Mammalia; Primates; Hominidae.